Bufo bufo (common toad) is the source of this 197-nucleotide small nucleolar RNA. RefSeq annotates it as small nucleolar RNA SNORA74. The record is from RefSeq and is a predicted model, not a curated record. The transcript has a single exon. NCBI's taxonomy places the organism in Eukaryota, Metazoa, Chordata, Amphibia, Anura, Bufonidae.
CCCAGCAGUAGUCAGCUGUCCAGUCAUGCUCUGACUGUGACUGUGUUACACUGCUGGAAGAUAAAGGCACUACCACCCCUUGCCACAAGCCGUGGUCUCCGUUUUGGUGACGCAUGGUCCUGGCAUAAGGCAGUGCCGUGCUUCCUCGAGAGUGCGCUUAUCACCUGUAUGUAAGUGCUAGUAUGGAAGCAUACACA